This 396-nucleotide ribosomal RNA is filed under the name Klebsiella quasipneumoniae subsp. similipneumoniae. Its description in RNAcentral is "bacterial SSU rRNA". It matches the Rfam family "Bacterial small subunit ribosomal RNA", at positions 865 to 1261 of the family's 1533-position model. Lineage: Bacteria; Pseudomonadati; Pseudomonadota; Gammaproteobacteria; Enterobacterales; Enterobacteriaceae. The record is from RNAcentral.
UCGACCGCCUGGGGAGUACGGCCGCAAGGUUAAAACUCAAAUGAAUUGACGGGGGCCCGCACAAGCGGUGGAGCAUGUGGUUUAAUUCGAUGCAACGCGAAGAACCUUACCUGGUCUUGACAUCCACAGAACUUAGCAGAGAUGCUUUGGUGCCUUCGGGAACUGUGAGACAGGUGCUGCAUGGCUGUCGUCAGCUCGUGUUGUGAAAUGUUGGGUUAAGUCCCGCAACGAGCGCAACCCUUAUCCUUUGUUGCCAGCGGUUCGGCCGGGAACUCAAAGGAGACUGCCAGUGAUAAACUGGAGGAAGGUGGGGAUGACGUCAAGUCAUCAUGGCCCUUACGACCAGGGCUACACACGUGCUACAAUGGCAUAUACAAAGAGAAGCGACCUCGCGAG